This 32-nucleotide transfer RNA is filed under the name Nymphaea lotus. RNAcentral describes it as "partial tRNA-Leu". RNAcentral also lists the same sequence under 1 other name. The record is from RNAcentral. Lineage: Eukaryota; Viridiplantae; Streptophyta; Magnoliopsida; Nymphaeales; Nymphaeaceae.
GCCGCCAUGGUGAAAUCGGUAGACACGCUGCU